UUGAAUGUUGUUUAGUGUUUUUAUAGGAUAUCCUCGCUUUCUCUCAAUUUGUAAUUCAAUACACAAAUUAAUAGGUUCUGUUAGGUUAGCUAUAUGUUGUGUAUUAUCAAUGACUUCCACCGAAGGUAGUAAAAUGAUGUCUUGAGCAGUUACAUAUCCAGGACCUUUAAAACAAAUAGACGCCUCCCGAGUUCAAUACAGAUUACUUUUCAAUAUAAUCUAUUUCAAAUUCAUUAAAAUUUCAUGUAUUGAUUCUUGAAUACCUACUAUGGUAGAAUAUUCAUGUGGUAUUUUCUCAGAUUUUGCACGUGUGAUAUAAUAUUCAUGUGGUAUUUUCUCAGAUGGUUGAAUACCUACUAUGGUAGAAUAUUCUUGAAUACCUACUACGAGCAAAAUUCUUCGCAUUGUAAUGCCUAUUGUAUCCGCUUGACCUUUCAUAAGUGGAGAGAGAAUAAAGCGUCCAUAAUAAAGACGUUUAAUGUUUACCAUUGAUUCAACACACUUCCACUAUAGUGUCUGAGUCGAUACUUUUAGUUUUUCUCGAAUCAUAGUAAUAUAUUUUUAUGAAACUCUUGAUUUAAUUGUUUAUUUCUCUUGAAAUAUUUUUCUUUAAUGUUUAUUGUUAGUUUUACACACGUUACCCUUGAUUCAACACACUUCCACUGUAGUGUCUGAGUCGAUACUUUUAGUUUUUCUCGAAUCAUAGUAAUAUAUUUUUAUGAAACUCUUGAUUUAAUUGUUUAUUUCUCUUGAAAUAUUUUUCUUUUAUGUUUAUUGUUAGUUUUACACACGUCUUUUUUUAGGAGCCCGACAUCCAUUAUGUGGCAGAGGGGUUACAUCCCGUAUAACCUUUAAUAGUAUCCCACUUCUAUAAAUAGCUCUUAAUGCCGCAUCUCUUACUAGACCCGGACCCUUUAUCCUUACUUCUGCUCGUUGCAUGCCUUGCUCGACUACUGUUUGAAUAGCAUUUCCCGCUGCGGUUUGAGCGGCAAAUGGUGUCCCCCUUCGUGUACCCUUGAAUCCACAUGAGCCGGCGGAGGACCAAGAAAUCACCCGACCUCGUACAUCUGUAACAGUCACAAUGGUAUUGUUGAAACUAGCUUGAAUAUAAAUAACCCCCUUUGGUAUUUUACGAGGAUGCUUACGCGAACCAAUACAUCCAGUUUUCCGUGAACCAAUUUUUGGUAUAGAUUUUGCCAUUUUUUUUAUUUGAAAAAAAAUAUAAGUCCGAAAUAUAUGGAUAUAUCCAUUUCCUCUCAAAAAGGAUUCUUUACUAUUUUCUAUCUNAUUGGUACUUAGAUCAAACACCAGCCGUCAUGACAGACUGGAACGUGUUGGAAGAGAAGUUCAUCGAAAGAUUCUUCUCCCAUAACCGGUUCAUGGAAUCCAAGACGGCCAUCUCAGUGUUUUCACAAGCAAGACGUCCUUCUAUUUAUCGACAAUAUCUUCCGUUUUGUCCAAGCCGGAUCCGAAGUAUCCGCCUUAUUGGGCCGAAUGCCUUCCGCUGUGGGUUACCAUCGUUUCUAUGAUUACUUGUUAAACGGUGAGGUCCUCUCUAUACACCGGAGCCAAUCGACAUUUUUCACAAAUUUUACGAACAGAGGCCGCCACUUUCAUAUUUUUAACUCCUUAGAAAUUCAAUUGAAUUCCGACUCUGGUGUGCCAGUUAUCGUGCCAACGGUAAAUGCUGGGUAGCCAAGUGCGGAGCAAUCAAUGAAUCAUUAAAUGAGGCCUGGGAAAGAUUCAAAUUUAUGCUUCGGAAGUGUAAAGGGCAUGGAUUUGAUGAAUUGACUCAAAUCCAUAUUUUCAAAAAUGGACUUCAACCAAAUUUCAAGACGUUGUUGGAUGCUACCUCGGGUGGCUCUUUAUUGUCUAAAAUUGACUUGAACUAUUGAUUGGGCCAUGCAGAUAUAUGACUUAAUCUUAUCUGCCACAUUUGAAUUCACAAUUAAAUGUGUCUUUGUUCCAACCACCGCGCCAGUCCUCUACAGAGGAUAGUUCGGUUCACUUGAAGAUAAUCUUUUCUAUGAUCAGACUCGAUCAUAUCCUGGAUGAACAGGCUCCGUGAUAUCCAGUAAAAUAAGUAAGAUGAUAUAAUCUAGAUUAUGUCAUAUGUAUUUUAUUAAACUUAAUAGUAUGGAAAUGCAUUCAUUUCUUAUGCGUUGACUCAAUUUAUGAUAUUAUCGAAGUUAAACAAGUAGAUCUUAAAAAAAGGGGGUUGUAUUAUAUUAGUAACAAGUAAAUCCUUUCUAUGUCAAGAAUUCCAAAAUUCUUUUUUUGAGGUAUAACAGGGGAAAGGUUUGAGAUCACCCAGAAAGAACUUUUUUUUUUGAAAACUUACUUGGGUGAAAAGCAUUUACUUAAAAAUAUAACUUGAAUUUUUUGCAUUUGCAAUGGAUAGUUGUAAUUUCAAAAAAAGAAUAAUUCAAUCAAUUUUAUUACAUAGAAUCAUGAUAUAUGAGUGACUAACAUAGAAAGAAUUUCUAUGUCUGCAUUCAGUUCGUUUGAUUCGUGCUCGAGCCGGAUGAUGAAAAACUAUCAUGUCCGGUUCUUUCGGAGGAUGCAUCUAUAAGAAUUCACCUAUCCCAAUAACAAAAAAAAUGUGACUUGACUAAUCCUAUAUUAAGAGCUAAAUUGGACAAAGAAAUGGGUCAUAAUUAUUAUGGCGAACCUGCAUGGCCUAACGAUCUUUUAUAUAUUUUUCCAGUAGUGAUGCUGGGGACUAUUGCCUGUAACGUGGGCUUAGAGGUUCUUGAAGCAUCAAUGAUUGGGGAACCCGCGGAUCUGUUUGCAACUCCUUUGGAAAUAUUACCCGAAUGGUAUUUUUUUCCCGUAUUUCAAAUACUUCGUACCGUACCCAAUAAAUUAUUGGGCGUUCUUUUAAUGGUUUCAGUACCCGCGGGAAUAUUAACAGUACCCUUUUUGGAGAAUGUUAAUAAGUUCCAAACCCCAUUUCGGCAUCCAGUAGCAACGUCUGUCUUUUUGAUUGGUACCGUCGUGGCUCUUUGGUUUGGUAUUGGAGCAACAUUACCUAUUGAAAAAUCCCUAACGUUAGGGCUUUUUUAAAUUGAUUCUAUUGUCAAAUAAAAUAUCAUGACAGGUGUAUUGUGUAUCUAGGGAAAAUUCACUUUGAAAUGACUAAUCCCUAGAUACACCUAUUUCAUUUGAGACCUAUUCUAAAUAGAUUGAUUUGUGCUAAAGAUUCAAAAACAUCCAAUGUAUAUAAAAUUUAUACAAAAUGAUUUUCAAUUUGUAAAAUGUUUAAUAUAAAUUUGAAAUCUUCUACUCGAAAAUGUUCAAUUUUCAUAAGGUCUUCUUGACUCUUAUUCAAAAGUUCCAAUACUGUAUGUAUAUUGGACUUUUUAAGACAAUUAUAGAUCCGGGGAGGCAAUUCUAAUUGGUCAAUAAAAAUGGAUUUCAAUGUAAUUUCUUUUUGAUUUUCCUUAGUUUACCUUAAGAAUCUAUCAUGAUCAUGAAAAGAAAAGGGCAAAGUCAUUUGUGUUGAUUUUUUAAUUUUAAGUUUUCUUCUUCUGCAUGUAAAAAAGAAUAAAUAGAAUCAAUCAAAUUCCGGGAGGCUUCAUAAAGUGCUUCCUUAGGAGUUAAACUUCCAUUUGUCCAUAUUUCCAGAAAUAGUAUCUCUUGUUUUUGACUUCCAUUCACAUAAGAAUGGAUACUAUGAUUUGCAUUUCUAACAGGCAUGAAUACAGCAUCUAUAGUAUAACUUCCAUCUUGAAUGUUGUUUAGUGUUUUUAUACGAUAUCCCCGCUUUCUCUCAAUUUAUAAUUCAAUACACAAAUUAAUAGGUUCUGUUAGGUUAGCUAUAUGUUGUGUAUUAUCAAUGACUUCCACCGAAGGUGGUAAAAUGAUGUCUUGAGCAGUUACAUAUCCAGGACCUUUGAAACAAAUAGGCGCCUCCCGAGUUCCAUACAGAUUACUUCUCAAUACAAUUUCUUUCAAAUUCAUUAAAAUUUCAUGUAUUGAUUCUUGAAUACCUACUAUGGUAGAAUAUUCAUGUGGUAUUUUCUCAGAUUUUGCACGCGUGAUACAUGUUCCCUCUAUUUCUCCGAGCAAAAUUCUUCGCAUUGUAAUGCCUAUUGUAUCUGCUUGACCUUUCAUAAGUGGAGACAGAAUAAAGCGUCCAUAAUAAAGACGCUUACUGUCUACCCUUUCCACCGAAGGUGGUAAAAUGAUGUCUUGAGCAGUUACAUAUCCAGGACCUUUGAAACAAAUAGACGCCUCCCGAGUUCCAUACAGAUUACUUCUCAAUACAAUUUCUUUCAAAUUCA
This 4286-nucleotide long non-coding RNA is filed under the name Lathyrus oleraceus (garden pea). Lineage: Eukaryota; Viridiplantae; Streptophyta; Magnoliopsida; Fabales; Fabaceae. The record is from RNAcentral.